This 254-nucleotide ribosomal RNA is filed under the name uncultured bacterium. Its description in RNAcentral is "partial 16S ribosomal RNA". It matches the Rfam family "Bacterial small subunit ribosomal RNA", at positions 524 to 776 of the family's 1533-position model. The record is from RNAcentral.
UACGUAGGGUGCGAGCGUUAAUCGGAUUUACUGGGCGUAAAGCGUGCGCAGGCGGCUUUGCAAGUCAGGGGUGAAAUCCCAGAGCUCAACUCUGGAAUUGCCUUUGAGACUGUGAGGCUUCGAGUACGGGAGAGGUGAGUGGAAUUCCCAGUGUAGAGGUGAAAUUCGUAGAUAUUGGGAAGAACACCGGUGGCGAAGGCGGCUCACUGGCCCGUUACUGACGCUCAGGCGCGACAGCGUGGGGAUCAAACAGG